Molecule: ribosomal RNA, 216 nt
Filed under: Glomeromycotina sp.
Lineage: Eukaryota; Fungi; Glomeromycota
Description: partial small subunit ribosomal RNA
Rfam family: Eukaryotic small subunit ribosomal RNA (bases 44-216)
Source: RNAcentral
GGGUCAGUAGGUUGGUCGUGCCACCGGUACGUACUGGUCUCACUGAUUCCUCCUUCCUGAAGAACCGUAAUGCCAUUAAUUUGGUGUUGCGGGGAAACAGGACUGUUACUUUGCAAAAAUUAGAGUGUUUAAAGCAAGCUAACGCUUGAAUACAUUAGCAUGGAAUAACGAAAUAGGACGAUCGAUCCUAUUUUGUUGGUUUCUAGGAUUGACGUA